RNAcentral lists this long non-coding RNA (429 nucleotides) under Salmo salar (Atlantic salmon). RNAcentral's name for it is "lncRNA (ENSSSAG00000104615.1)". The record is from RNAcentral. Lineage: Eukaryota; Metazoa; Chordata; Actinopteri; Salmoniformes; Salmonidae.
CGUAUAGUUGCAGUUCAUUUAUAUAAAUGUGACAAAGCCAGUAUAGUUUAAACACGUCCUUCAGAGAUUCUUUUUAAACCUUUCCUGUUGAAAAGUGAUAUCCCAAGUAUAAAUACAGUAAAGUACACACACUAAAGGGUAAAGAAAUAUGGAAAGAAGGUUUAGAGAAGGUAUAGAGAAGGUAUAGAGAAGGUAUAGAAGGUAGAGAGAAGGUUUAGAGAAGGUAUACAGGUAUAGAGAAGGUAUACAGGUAUAGAGAAGGUAUACAGAAGGUAUAGAGAAGGUUUAGAGAAGUUAUACAGGUUUAGAUAAGGUAUAGAAGGUAUAGAGAAGGUUUAGAGAAGGUAUACAGAAGGUAUAGAGAAGGUUUAGAGAAGGUAUACAGGAAUAGAGAAGGUAUACGGAAGGCAUACAGAAGGUAUAGAGAAG